This 715-nucleotide long non-coding RNA is filed under the name Triticum aestivum (bread wheat). RNAcentral describes it as "long non-coding RNA (TAES_LNC023534)". The record is from RNAcentral. Lineage: Eukaryota; Viridiplantae; Streptophyta; Magnoliopsida; Poales; Poaceae.
AGGAAAUAGGGAAACCUAUAAGUGCUCACCACGCUUUGAAACAAACCUACAGCCCCAAAUCCACUGAAAUGAAUUUACAUGGUCAUCACCAGCCUAGAGAUCCAUUGCUAAUUCUUUACAUCUACAGUAAAACUGUUUUCUGUGAACCAACAGAUCUAUUUAUUUCUAAAUAAAUCCACUGAAACCUACAGCCCCAAAUCUUAUAAAUGUGCGUCGACAGCAGCACAUAACCUAGCACAGCUCAAUGGCCAUGGACACAACGAGCAGUAGCACGGUAAGGAGAGGGAGAGAGUAUACCUUCCUUGGCAUCGUCCAUGACUUGCUCCACGAACUCGACUUGCUCCAUGGCGUCCCCCUGCAUGGAGUUGGAAUACCUAGUUGAUUUUAAUUAUACUAAGAUUCUUUCAUGUGAAACUAAAUAGUGGAAUUAAUACAUGCAGCACACAAUAUAGGCCCGCAGUUUCUGAAAUCCAACCAAAAAAAAGAAGUAGGUUGUCUACCAGGCCAUGCCUUGUACCUUCAGUUCGGUUUCAACUCUGGUAUGAUGUCCCGUGAGAGGAACAAAAAUACAACGAAGUCAAAUAUUGUCGUCGGUAGGACCUUACCUGCCAAUUCAAAAAAGAUAAUGCUAACUUAUCAUGGGAUCAUCAUCAAGAACAUGCACACUGUUGUUCAAAUUCUUACUAUGGCAGGCAUUAUGUUAUUGUUCAACGAU